UUUUUUUUUUUUUCCUUCUUUUAUGGCUACACCUGUGGCACAUGGAAGUUCCCGGGCUAUGGACUAAGUUCUCGCCACAGCUGCAACCUACGUUACAACUGGGCCAACAGCAACAUCAGGCAAGGGAUCAAACUGGCACCUUAGCAGCGACCUGAGCUGCUGCAGUCAGAUUUUUAACCCACUGUGCCACAGUGGGAACUCCUGAAGUUUAAACUCCAUGACGUUUAAAUUUCAUGAGUUAAAUUUCUUAAUCUUCUAUUUUAUGGCUUCUGUUUAUCUUGUGAAGGGUUUUGUUGUUGUUUUUUGCCACACCCACAGCAUGUGAAAGUUCCCAGGCUAGGGGUUGAAUUGCAGCUGUAGACACCGGCCUACGCCAGAGCCACAGCAACGCAGAAUCCGAGCUGCGUCUGCAACCUACACCACAGCUCACGGCAACGCCAGAUCGUUAACCCACUGAGCAAGGGCAGGGACCGAACCUGCAACCUCAUGGUUCCUAGUCGGAUUCGUUAACCACUGCGCCACCACGGGAACUCCAAAAAUGUUUAGUAAAUCUGUACUAGAGUUUAUAAAAGUUUACAUCUGCAUCCCAGCUUGUGUGGUUCACAUGCUGCUCCCAGGCUGCCAGCCUGACUUCCCCGGCCAAAGAAAAUGAUCAGAUAACACUGUUCUCAAGUAUCGAAGCACUUUAUGCACAGACAUUGUUUGGGCUAAUACAUUAUCUCCCAAAGUGUUCCUAUGGUGCAAUUGGUGGUAUGGAGGAUGACUUCUGUGAUACAGAAAUAAAAUGAUUUUUCUUGACUAAUUGUGUUUUUAUUUUUAUGCCUUUUUUUUUUUUAAAGGGCCAUACCCUGUGGCACAUGGAAGUUCUCAGAGCUACAGCUGCCAGCCUACACCACAGCCACAGCAAUGUAGGAUCUGAGCUGCAUCUGUGACCUACACCACAUCUCAUGGCAACUCGGGAUCCCUGACCCACUGGGCAAGGUCAGGGAUCGAACCCACAUCCUCGUGGAUCCUAGCUGGGUUUGAUAACCGCCGAAGCCACGAAAGGAACUCCCAACUAAUUGCGUUUUUAUUUUAACUUGUUAAAAAAACUAUCACUAGUCAGGAGUUCCCGUAGUGGCUCAGAGGUUAAUGAACCCAACUGGCAUCCAUGAGGACGCAGGUUGGAUCCCUGGCCUUGCUCAGUAGGUUAAGGAUCUGGUGUUGCCCUGAGCUGUGGUGUAAGUCCUGGUCAGGACUCAGAUCCAGUAUUGCUGUGGCUGUGGUGCAGGCCUACAGCUACAACUCCGACUGAACCCCUAGCCUGGGAAUCUCCAUAUGCCAGCAUUGUGGCCCUAAAAAGACAAAACUAUCACUAGUCCAUGAAACCCAUGGUUUCCAUGGUUUCAUCUACAUUGCUUAGAUCAAGACUAAACCACUUAAAAUUAAAGAAAAAAGGGAGGGGGCGGGGAGCCGCGUCUGGGGCGUGUGGAAGUUGCCCUGCCAGAGAAGAACCCCCGGCCAGAGCAGCGACCUGAGAAACUGCAGUGACAACGCUGAGCCACAAGGGAACUCCAAAAUUAAAUCAAUUU
Molecule: long non-coding RNA, 1571 nt
Filed under: Sus scrofa (pig)
Lineage: Eukaryota; Metazoa; Chordata; Mammalia; Artiodactyla; Suidae
Description: lncRNA (ENSSSCG00030039245.1)
Source: RNAcentral